This 497-nucleotide ribosomal RNA is filed under the name uncultured bacterium. RNAcentral describes it as "partial 16S ribosomal RNA". It matches the Rfam family "Bacterial small subunit ribosomal RNA", at positions 28 to 507 of the family's 1533-position model. The record is from RNAcentral.
GAUGAACGCUGGCGGCGUGCCUAAUACAUGCAAGUCGAGCGAACGGACGAGAAGCUUGCUUCUCUGCUGUUAGCGGCGGACGGGUGAGUAACACGUGGAUAACCUACCUAUAAGACUGGGAUAACCUCGGGAAACCGGAGCUAAUACCGGAUAAUAUUUUGAACCGCAUGGUUCAAAAGUGAAAGACGGUCUUGCUGUCACUUAUAGAUGGAUCCGCGCUGCAUUAGCUAGUUGGUAAGGUAACGGCUUACCAAGGCAACGAUGCAUAGCCGACCUGAGAGGGUGAUCGCCCACACUGGAACUGAGACCCGGUCCAGACUCCUACGGGAGGCAGCAGUAGGGAAUCUUCCGCAAUGGGCGAAAGCCUGACGGAGCAACGCCGCGUGAGUGAUGAAGGUCUUCGGAUCGUAAAACUCUGUUAUUAGGGAAGAACAUAUGUGUAAGUAACUGUGCACAUCUUGACGGCACCUAAUCAGAAAGCCACGGCUAACUACGUG